This is a non-coding RNA of Ictidomys tridecemlineatus (thirteen-lined ground squirrel), 69 nucleotides long. The record is from Rfam. Lineage: Eukaryota; Metazoa; Chordata; Mammalia; Rodentia; Sciuridae.
GGGGUUGUGGCUCAGCGGCAGAGCGCCCACCUAGCACGUGUGAGGCCCUGGGUUCGAUUCCCAGCACCA